This 208-nucleotide ribosomal RNA is filed under the name uncultured bacterium. Its description in RNAcentral is "partial 16S ribosomal RNA". It matches the Rfam family "Bacterial small subunit ribosomal RNA", at positions 568 to 775 of the family's 1533-position model. The record is from RNAcentral.
CGCGCAGGCGGUGAUGUAAGUCUGAGGUGAAAACCCGAAGCUCAACUUCGGGACUGCCUUGGAUACUGCGUCACUUGAGGAUAGGAGAGGCAAGGGGAAUUCCACGUGUAGCGGUGAAAUGCGUAGAGAUGUGGAGGAACACCUGUGGCAAAGGCGCCUUGCUGGCCUAUUUCUGACGCUGAGGCGCGAAAGCGUGGGGAGCAAACAG